CGGGCCUUGUACACACCGCCCGUCACACCAUGGGAGUGGGUUGCAAAAGAAGUAGGUAGCUUAACCUUCGGGAGGGCGCUUACCACUUUGUGAUUCAUGACUGGGGUGAAGUCGUAACAAGGUAACCGUAGGGGAACCUGCGGUUGGAUCACCUCCUUA
Molecule: ribosomal RNA, 159 nt
Filed under: Escherichia coli
Lineage: Bacteria; Pseudomonadati; Pseudomonadota; Gammaproteobacteria; Enterobacterales; Enterobacteriaceae
Also listed under: 6 other names
Description: partial 16S ribosomal RNA
Rfam family: Bacterial small subunit ribosomal RNA
Source: RNAcentral